CAUGCCUAACACAUGCAAGUCGAACGAAGGCUUCGGCCUUAGUGGCGCACGGGUGCGUAACGCGUGGGAAUCUGCCCUUUGGUUCGGAAUAACAGCUGGAAACGGCUGCUAAUACCGGAUGAUGACGAAAGUCCAAAGAUUUAUCGCCAGAGGAUGAGCCCGCGUUGGAUUAGGUAGUUGGUGGGGUAAAGGCCUACCAAGCCGACGAUCCAUAGCUGGUCUGAGAGGAUGAUCAGCCACACUGGGACUGAGACACGGCCCAGACUCCUACGGGAGGCAGCAGUGGGGAAUAUUGGACAAUGGGCGAAAGCCUGAUCCAGCAAUGCCGCGUGAGUGAUGAAGGCCCUAGGGUUGUAAAGCUCUUUUACCCGGGAAGAUAAUGACUGUACCGGGAGAAUAAGCCCCGGCUAACUCCGUGCCAGCAGCCGCGGUAAUACGGAGGGGGCUAGCGUUGUUCGGAAUUACUGGGCGUAAAGCGCACGUAGGCGGCUUUGUAAGUAAGAGGUUAAAGCCUGGAGCUCAACUCCAGAACUGCCUUUGAGACUGCAUCGCUUGAAUCCAGGAGAGGUCAGUGGAAUUCCGAGU
RNAcentral lists this ribosomal RNA (585 nucleotides) under Sphingomonas sp. MM_H16. RNAcentral's name for it is "bacterial SSU rRNA". It matches the Rfam family "Bacterial small subunit ribosomal RNA", at positions 43 to 674 of the family's 1533-position model. The record is from RNAcentral. Lineage: Bacteria; Pseudomonadati; Pseudomonadota; Alphaproteobacteria; Sphingomonadales; Sphingomonadaceae.